UCCUCUGUGGCGUAACGGCAUCGCACCUCACUCCUAUCCUUAUCCUACUUAUUCUUAGAGGAGAUUCCCGGUUCAAAUCCGGGCAGAGGGA
Ascodesmis nigricans is the source of this 91-nucleotide non-coding RNA. The record is from the annotation of a GenBank genome assembly. Lineage: Eukaryota; Fungi; Ascomycota; Pezizomycetes; Pezizales; Ascodesmidaceae.